RNAcentral lists this ribosomal RNA (535 nucleotides) under uncultured Acidobacteriota bacterium. RNAcentral describes it as "bacterial SSU rRNA". It matches the Rfam family "Bacterial small subunit ribosomal RNA", at positions 8 to 522 of the family's 1533-position model. The record is from RNAcentral. Lineage: Bacteria; Pseudomonadati; Acidobacteriota.
AGAGUUUGAUCAUGGCUCAGAAUCAACGCUGGCGGCGUGCCUAACACAUGCAAGUCGAACGCGAAAGUGGAGCAAUCCAUGAGUAGAGUGGCAAACGGGUGAGUAACGCGUGGGUGACCUGCCUUCGAGUGGGGGAUAACGUUCCGAAAGGGACGCUAAUACCGCAUGACAUCCGGCCUUUGAAGAGGCGGAGAUCAAAGCUGGGGAUCGCAAGACCUAGCGCUCGAUGAGGGGCCCGCGUCUGAUUAGCUAGUUGGUGGGGUAACGGCUCACCAAGGCAACGAUCAGUAUCCGGCCUGAGAGGGCGGACGGACACACUGGGACUGAGACACGGCCCAGACUCCUACGGGAGGCAGCAGUGGGGAAUUGUUCGCAAUGGGCGCAAGCCUGACGACGCAACGCCGCGUGGAGGAUGAAGAUCUUCGGGUCGUAAACUCCUUUCGAUCGAGACGAACAGCCUUCGGGUAAACAAUCCGGAGGUCUGACGGUACCGAGAGAAGAAGCCCCGGCUAACUCCGUGCCAGCAGCCGCGGUA